UCUGUGACUUCCCAUGUGUUUCAGAAAGAGCUGAAUUGUCCUGCUACCUGGUUAAUGGGCAUGCUUUGGAUUCACACUGGAUCCUGGAAGCAGAAUUGUCCCCUGUGGAUGUAGAAGUAUCAUGGUAACUCUCCUCAGGGCUUCAUUCUUCUUUUGUGACCUACAGCCUCAACGAGAGUUUUUACAGAAACGGAACACCACGGAACAGCAAAUUUGGGAACCUUGUCACUUGACAAAAAAAACGCUUGGCUCAGAAUGUUAUUUUUCUUAAAUGUAUCUUUCAGCCGCUGUCAUUAAAACUGUUAAAUAGCUUUAGGAACCUGUUUUGUCAAUUACCUUGGGGACAGGAAUGAAAUACUGGGCUGUUAAGCGUGUGCCACAAAAAAUAAACUGCGCCGCGAGAGCCGCGGGAGGAGC
Molecule: long non-coding RNA, 417 nt
Filed under: Serinus canaria (Common canary)
Lineage: Eukaryota; Metazoa; Chordata; Aves; Passeriformes; Fringillidae
Description: lncRNA (ENSSCAG00000006543.1)
Source: RNAcentral